RNAcentral lists this ribosomal RNA (2084 nucleotides) under wastewater metagenome. RNAcentral describes it as "bacterial LSU rRNA". It matches the Rfam family "Bacterial large subunit ribosomal RNA", at positions 3 to 2007 of the family's 2925-position model. The record is from RNAcentral.
UUAAGCUACUAAGGGUGUACGGUGAAUGCCCUGGCAUCAGAAGGCGAUGAAGGACGUAGCUAGCUGCGAUAAGCCCCGGGGAGCCGCAAGCAGGCCGUGAUCCGAGGAUGUCCGAAUGGGGAAACCCAGGCGAUGAAUGCCGCCUAUCCUCUGCUGAAUACAUAGGCAGUGAGAAGCCCACGCAGGGAAGUGAAACAUCUCAGUACCUGCAGGAAUAGAAAUCAAUCGAGAUUCCCCCAGUAGUGGCGAGCGAAAAGGGAACAGCCUAAACUGUGCCGAUGUCAAGCCCGUGUGCGUUGUCGGCGUAGUGUUGUAGGCCUUCAUUGGACGGUGAUACGGAGCCGUCGGCGAGUUACAAAUUAGGAUCGUAGCAGAAUAGUCUGGAAAGGCUGACCAUAGAAGGUGACAGUCCUGUAUGUAAAACGACCCUAACUCGUUGAAUGGAGGUCCUGAGUACCACGGGGCCCGAGAAACCUUGUGGGAAUCUGGGACGACCACGUUCCAAGGCUAAAUACUCUCUGAUGACCGAUAGUGAACCAGUACCGUGAGGGAAAGGUGAAAAGAACCCCGGUGAGGGGAGUGAAAUAGAACCUGAAACCGUACACCUACAAGCAGCGAAAGGGCUAUGCCCGCAAGGGAAUGCCUGAUCGUGUGCCUUUUGCUUAAUGAGCCUGCGAGUUAUUUAGCGUAGCAAGGUUAAGGCGAAGAGCCGGAGCCGUAGCGAAAGCGAGUCCGAAUUGGGCAUUGAGUUGCGCUGAAUAGACCCGAAGCGAAGUGAUCUACCCAUGGCCAAGGCGAAUCCGCCGUAACAGGCGGAGGAGGCCUGAACUGAUGUUAGUUGCAAAUGGCUCGGAUGAGCUGUGGGUAGGGGUGAAAGGCUAAUCAAACUUCGUGAUUGCUGGUUCUCCCCGAAAUAACUAGAGGGUUAGCCUCGUUUCAGCCGUGACGGAGGUAGAGCACUGAAUGAGCUAGGGGCGUUCCAACGCUACCGAACUCAAUCAAACUCCGAAUGCCGUUACUGGACGAACGGGAGUUAGACUACGAGUGCUAAGAUCCGUGGUCAAAAGGGAAACAGCCCAGACCGUCAGCUAAGGUCCCUAAUCGUGAGCUAAGUGGAAAAGGUUGUAAGAUCGCUCAGACAGCCAGGAGGUUGGCUUAGAAGCAGCCAUCCUUUAAAGAGUGCGUAAUAGCUCACUGGUCGAGCGAUUUUGCGCCGAAAAUGUAACGGGGCUCAAGUUCACAACCGAAGCUACGGACUUGCAUCGCAAGAUGUGAGUGGUAGGGGAGCAUUCUCUGUGCGGUGAAGGUUGACCGACAAGGACAACUGGAGCGCAGAGAAGAGAUUAUGCAGGCAUAAGUAGCGAUAAACGAUGUGAGAAUCAUCGUCCCCGUAAGCCUAAGGUUUCCUGGCCUAUGUUCGUCAGGUCAGGGUGAGUCGGAUCCUAAGCCGAGGUCGACAGACGUAGGCGAUGGCAAACAGGUCAAUAUUCCUGUACCACCGUAUUGACGUUAUCAGCGAAGGGGGGACGCAGAAGGGUAGGCACCGCCGGGUCCCUGGAAUACCCGGUCCAAGCAUGUAGGCGGGAACUGUAGGCAAAUCCGCGGUUCCGUUAACGCCGAGAUGUGAUGGGGAGGCCGCAAGGCCAUAAACGGGCUGAUCCCACGCUGCCGAGAAAAGCCUCGUAGCGAGUCAGUACGAUGUCCGUACCGCAAACCGACACAGGUAGGUGGGUGGAAUACACCAAGGGGCGUGAGAGAACACUCCCUAAGGAACUAUGCAAUUUAGCCCCGUAACUUCGGGAGAAGGGGUGCCCUGCGUAAGUGAGGCCGUACAGGCCGAGCUGAACGGGGUUGCAAUAAAGUGGCUCUAGCGACUGUUUACCAAAAACACAGGACUCUGCUAACACGAAAGUGGAUGUAUAGGGUCUGACGCCUGCCCGGUGCUGGAAGGUUAACCGGAGGAGUUAGCCGCAAGGCAAAGCUUUGAAGGGAAGCCCCAGUAAACGGCGGCCGUAACUAUAACGGUCCUAAGGUAGCGAAAUUCCUUGUCGGGUAAGUUCCGACCUGCAUGAAUGGCGUAACGA